Molecule: long non-coding RNA, 1682 nt
Filed under: Mus musculus (house mouse)
Lineage: Eukaryota; Metazoa; Chordata; Mammalia; Rodentia; Muridae
Description: RIKEN cDNA 9230020A06 gene
Source: RNAcentral
GGAGGUGUGGUGUAAGCUUUGGGACUCCGGUGGUUGGGAGCCAAGUGGUGGCUUGGGAAGCUGGAAACAAAGGUGGGCUGCAGAUGCCUGGAGCAAGGCUGUGUGGGAGCCUCCCGCGGGGUCGUCCCUGAGCACAAGAGAGAGCCAGGAUCCUAUAGACAACACCUUUUAUGUGGCAAGUUAUUUUUGCUGUGAAGCCACGUGGUUGCGCCAGUCAAGCAUGUCCCCUGUGCCGCCUGAGGUCUGCUGGACACCACAUUCCGAGAGACAUUUCCUGUCAGCUUCAUUGUGCUUCACAGAGCUGGUGGCCAUAUGAGUUGCUCAUUAAGGUGGCCUAUUGUCUCAGCCACUCUUCACUUCCUCAGGUCAGUUUGUUCUCUUGCACGAGGACUAAGCUGCUGGUUUCUUUGAGCUUCCCAUCCAGAGAUACAGUCCGUAGGAAAACCAUGAGAUCAGGAUAAAAAGUCCAGGCUGGUGCCCAGGGGCAUGGUUUAUUCUGAGUCCCACGGAGGAUUACUUUGGGCAAUCACAGGGUGAAUGUGAAUGCUGAUUACAUCUGCAGGUACCAGCCAAAGGAAAUGAAGUGUAACUAUAUAAUGUUAGGCAAAUUUAAAGGAUUGUUAUUUCUACUGGGCAAGAUAGCUACUUCCCAGCUUAAGAGAAUAACCUCUGAGGUCAAAUCCAAAUUGCCUGUUUUAUGCUUCUGUGAGUCUCAGGACAAUACAAGAAAGCUUUCGGUAGAGGAACCACGCCUCUUGGACAGCCAUCUGUGCCCCUUCACUGUUCCCUGUGUGACCUCUCUGAAUGGUGGUCCAGCCUAGCUCAGCUGUGACGUGACUUGAGGAAAAAAGGGGAGAGAGCUCACAUGGAUUCCCAGCUCAAUUCUGAUAUUAGAAAGCUCUGGGCAUUGCAGGUUCUGCUGGGCUCCCAGGGGCCAGGCUGGUUCUGACCUCACCUUGCUCUGGCUGGUCUCCACUUACUUCAUGUCCCAUGGGGAAUAACACCUCUCUGAAGGUGUUGAGCUGCAGUGGUUGUUUUUCUGGCUGCUACAUGAUACUCAGUCACCUGUUUGCUGUCACACUUGCCACUCGGAGUAACAAUGAAUUAUUUGAUGAAUUGUUUGCCGAUCUUUCUUGCUUCCAAGCUGUGAGCAACUCUAGACUUGGCUAUAAUUGAUCCCCAAGACCCUUUGGUGCACAGCUGAAGCCCCACCCACACCAGAGGAAGUGCCGGAGGCAGAAAAGAAGAAAUCAACACACACACUGCCUCUGUCCCAAUCAGCAUCCAAGGAAGUCUCAAGGUGAGGCUGCAAUGCAGCCUUCUCAACAGGAUUCUAUAGAGAAGUGGGAUGCUAACUGAUUUCCAGAGGUGGCCUUGUUCCAGGGCUCUCUGAAAAUGCUACCUGGUGAUGAACUUGACUUUGUUCUUCUGAGCUAAGGGCACUGGCCCAGUGGGCCAUCUCACCAUGGCUCUACUCACCUGGUGGCCAGCAGAGUCCACUGAGAGCUGACUUCUGGGAGUCGUUGCUGGAAGAGAGUCUGGCAGGAAGAAUUGUCAAGUAUCUCAGCUGACUCCCCAGAGGAGAUGAAUAUCCUCCCCAGGGACAGCCAAGAUGCAUCCAGGCAGGAGCUCAUUUCCAUCCCAAAUUGGCUCCAGAGGGCGAAGGCUUCUGGGAGAUACCA